CUGCAACCAAAGGAGCAAUCCGCUGAAAGAUGGGCUCGCGUCCGAUUAGCCAGUUGGCGGGGUAACGGCCCACCAAACCGACGAUCGGUAGCCGGACUGAGAGGUUGAACGGCCACAUUGGGACUGAGACACGGCCCAGACUCCUACGGGAGGCAGCAGUGGGGGAUAUUGCACAAUGGGGGAAACCCUGAUGCAGCGACGCCGCGUGAGGGAAGAAGGUUUUCGGAUUGUAAACCUCUGUCUUUAGUGACGAAGAUGACGGUAGCUAAAGAGGAAGCCACGGCUAACUACGUGCCAGCAGCCGCGGUAAUACGUAGGUGGCAAGCGUUGUCCGGAAUUACUGGGUGUAAAGGGAGCGUAGGCGGGAAGACAAGUCGGGUGUCAAAUCUAUCGGCUCAACUGGUAGCAGCACUCGAAACUGCCUUUCUUGAGUGAAGUAGAGGUAAGCGGAAUUCCUAGUGUAGCGGUGAAAUGCGUAAAUAUUAGGAGGAACACCAGUGGCGAAGGCGGCUUACUGGGCUUUAACUGACGCUGAGGCUCGAAAGCAUGGGUAGCAAACAGGAUUAGAUACCCUGGUAGUCCAUGCUGUAAACGAUGAUUACUAGGUGUGGGGGGGCUGACCCCUUCCGUGCCGGAGUUAACACAAUAA
This 649-nucleotide ribosomal RNA is filed under the name uncultured bacterium. RNAcentral's name for it is "bacterial SSU rRNA". It matches the Rfam family "Bacterial small subunit ribosomal RNA", at positions 195 to 863 of the family's 1533-position model. The record is from RNAcentral.